RNAcentral lists this ribosomal RNA (511 nucleotides) under uncultured bacterium. RNAcentral's name for it is "partial 16S ribosomal RNA". The record is from RNAcentral.
GGAGUUAGCCGGUGCUUCUUCUGCGAGUAACGUCACAGAUGUAAGGUAUUAACUUACACCCUUUCCUCCUCGCUGAAAGUGCUUUACAACCCGAAGGCCUUCUUCACACACGCGGCAUGGAUGCAUCAGGGUUUCCCCCAUUGUGCAAUAUUCCCCACUGCUGCCUCCCGUAGGAGUCUGGGCCGUGUCUCAGUCCCAGUGUGGCUGAUCAUCCUCUCAGACCAGCUAGGGAUCGUCGCCUAGGUGAGCCUUUACCUCACCUACUAGCUAAUCCCACCUGGGCUUAUCCAUCAGCGCAAGGCCCGAAGGUCCCCUGCUUUCCCCCGUAGGGCGUAUGCGGUAUUAGCAGUCGUUUCCAACUGUUAUCCCCCACAAAUGGGCAAAUUCCCAGGCAUUACUCACCCGUCCGCCGCUCGUCAUCUUCAAAAGCAAGCUUUUGAAAUGUUACCGCUCGACUUGCAUGUGUUAGGCCUGCCGCCAGCGUUCAAUCUGAGCCAGAAUCAAACUCUGA